UCAGACAGUCGCUGGUGCCUAUGGCAUCAGAGGAAAGUCCAUGCUCGCACAGCCUGCGAUGGCUGUAGUGUUUGUGCCGGAUGAAACCAUAAAUCCGGGCAGGGCAAUUCCUGACGGCUGCGUUCGUUCCUAAAGCAGCAUGUCAUGGAAAGAACGCUUUAAAAGUGCCACAGAGACGAGCGUGCCGGGAAACCGGUGCGGUGGAACGGGUAAACCCCGCAAGCGAGAAACCCAAAUUUGGUAGGGGAGCCUGCCGGAGCGAAAGGAAGCGAAGGCGGGACACGAAAGUGUAGAUAAAUGGCUGUCGCCCGCAAGGGAACAGAACAUGGCUUAC
Molecule: RNase P RNA, 334 nt
Filed under: uncultured Merdibacter sp.
Lineage: Bacteria; Bacillati; Bacillota; Erysipelotrichia; Erysipelotrichales; Erysipelotrichaceae
Description: Bacterial RNase P class B
Rfam family: Bacterial RNase P class B
About the family: Ribonuclease P (RNase P) is a ubiquitous endoribonuclease, found in archaea, bacteria and eukarya as well as chloroplasts and mitochondria. Its best characterised activity is the generation of mature 5'-ends of tRNAs by cleaving the 5'-leader elements of precursor-tRNAs. Cellular RNase Ps are ribonucleoproteins.
Source: RNAcentral